Molecule: ribosomal RNA, 1018 nt
Filed under: Aspergillus flavus
Lineage: Eukaryota; Fungi; Ascomycota; Eurotiomycetes; Eurotiales; Aspergillaceae
Description: SSU rRNA
Rfam family: Eukaryotic small subunit ribosomal RNA
Source: RNAcentral
GCCUGAAUUCCCGGGGUCGCUGUCUAGUAUAGCACUUUAUACUGUGAAACUGCGAAUGGCUCAUUAAAUCAGUUAUCGUUUAUUUGAUAGUACCUUACUACAUGGAUACCUGUGGUAAUUCUAGAGCUAAUACAUGCUAAAAACCUCGACUUCGGAAGGGGUGUAUUUAUUAAAUAAAAAACCAAUGCCCUUCCGGGCUCCUUGGUGAUUCAUAAUAACUUAACCAAUCCCAUGGCCUUGCCCCGGCGAUGGUUCAUUCAAAUUUCUGCCCUAUCAACUUUCCAUGGUAGGAUAGUGGCCUACCAUGGUGGCAACGGGUAACGGGGAAUUAGGGUUCGAUUCCGGAAAGGGAGCCUGAAAAACGGCUACCACAUCCAAGGAAGGGAGCAGGCGCCCAAAUUACCCAAUCCCCACACGGGGAGGGAGUGACAAUAAAUACUGAUACCGGGCUCUUUUGGGUCUCGUAAUUGGAAUGAAUACAAUCUAAAUCCCUUAACGAAGAACAAUUGGAGGGCAAGUCUGGUGCCAGCAGCCCCGGUAAUUCCAGCUCCAAUAACGUAUAUUAAAGUUGUUGCAGUUAAAAAGCUCGUAAUUGAACCUUGGGUCUGGCUGGCCGGUCCGCCUCACCGCGAGUACUGGUCCGGCUGGACCUUUCCUUCUGGGGAACCUCAUGGCCUUCACUGGCUGUGGGGGGAACCAGGACUUUUACUGUGAAAAAAUUAAAGUGUUCAAAGCAGGCCUUUGCUCCAAUACAUUAACAUGGAAUAAUAAAAUAAGACGUGCGGUUCUAUUUUGUUGGUUUCUAAGACCGCCGUAAUGAUUAAUAAGGAUAGUCGGGGGCGUCAGUAUUCAGCUGUCAGAAGUGAAAUUCUUGGAUUUGCUGAAAACUAACUACUGCGAAAGCAUUCCCAAGAUGUUUUCAUUAUCAGGAACAAAGUUAGGAUCGAAAACAUCAAAUACCGUCUAUCUUACCAUAAACUAUGCCGACUAAGGAUCGGACGGGUUUCUAUGAUGACGC